Molecule: ribosomal RNA, 497 nt
Filed under: uncultured bacterium
Lineage: Bacteria
Description: partial 16S ribosomal RNA
Rfam family: Bacterial small subunit ribosomal RNA
Source: RNAcentral
GAUGAACGCUGGCGGCGUGCCUAAUACAUGCAAGUCGAGCGAACGGACGAGAAGCUUGCUUCUCUGAUGUUAGCGGCGGGCGGGUGAGUAACACGUGGAUAACCUACCUAUAAGACUGGGAUAACUUCGAGAAACCGUAGCUAAUCCCGUAUUAUAUUUUGUACCGCGUGGUUCAAAAGUAAAAGACGGUCUUGCUGUCACCUAUAGAUCGUUCCGUGCUUCAUUGGGUAGUUGGUAAGGUAACGGAUUACAAAGGCAACGAUGCAUAGCCGCCCUAGGGGGGGGAUCGGCCACCCUGGAACUGAACAACGCUCCAGACUCCUACGGGAGGCACCAGUGGGGAAUCUUGGGCAUGGGGCGAAGUCCGGACGGACAAACGCGGCGUGAGGGAGGAAGGUCUUCGGACGGAAAACUCCUGUUAUUAGGGAAGAACAGAGGGGUAAGGAACUGUGCACAUCGUGACGGUACCUAAUCAGAAAGCCACGGCUAACUACGUG